CAAGUUCUUGGUGAUCCCAACUAGCUCAAAUUCAAAGAUCAACACCAAGUUUUAUCACUAAAGCAAAUCAACAAAUGCUAUAAAAAAAAAGUUAUAUGAGUAGAAAAUUAUACAAUUGUAUAAUUCUGUGUUUUAUACAGCUAAGAUAGUAUUUAUAUCAUUGUAUAAUGUAUAAGAAAGACUAAUUAUAUCUUUUGUUUAUGUUUGAAUGAAAGGAGAGGCUAAAUUAAAGUGGAAUUAUGUGGAGAAAAUGUUGCAGAAAUUUACGAAAGUUGCCACUGUACUGUUGAUUUUAUGAACUUAUAUUUUGCAUUAAAUCCCUGAAAAUCCGCACAAAUUACUGCUGGGGGUAUCAAGAAUAAAGAAUUAAGCAAAUGUUAAGACGGUACGUAGGGGAUAUUAUAUUACAUUGUCCGAAGUUGGACAUUCCAAACACACUUUUCGGUACAAUUUUGUAAUUAAAAUUUACUGUGGGUGUCCAAUUCAUUUUCAUACUAUUUUUAUUUGGUUUAAUUAUCGAAUACGUCCUGACAAAACAAAAAUAUUUAUCAAAUACGUUAUUUUGUGCAUCCAAAUAUAUUAAAUAAGUUGCUGAUUAUAAUAUUGAUUCCACUGGGUUUACUCAUUUAAAAAUUUGUAUCAAAAUUAUCAUGUUAUCAUUAGUCAAAAUCUUAAAAGUAUUAUAUAUUGAGUUUCGUACAUAUUUGUGGAUGAUGUUACAUUCAAAUGAAAGGUUACGAGUUCUAUUAUUUUAGAUAAUAUUAUUAGAUUUUUAUCAACUAUUUAUUUCUAAUUUUUUGACUGUUGUAUUUGAUUUAUUAAAAUUCAUAAAGUUAGCUCUUAGAUUAUGAAAUUUUGUUUAUAAGAAAAUUUAAAAUAAUUAAGUGAUACCCUACUAGAAUUUACAUAAACUAUAGUAUAUUAAAACUGUACUUAUAAUAAAUCUAUUAAAGUUUAUUAAACUUAAAAUUAAACUUUAAUAAAGUGAAGAUUUUGAAGCUAUCAUAAACUUUAAUUAAACUUAUUUUCAUAUAACUUUAAUCUUUUUUCUUUGAAACUAUAAUUUUAAUCUUUUUAAUAGUACAAAUUGAAUGAUAUUAGGAUCUGAUUUGUUGCAUGAUUUCUUGUAGUAAAUAAGAGGAGCUUAGAAAUGAAUAUUUUAAAACAAUAAAUUAUAAACUUUGACCUCUUCUCUUUUGAACAGUUUGGCUGAAUAAUUUAGAGUUUUUUUUCUUAUCUCGUUUCAGUUGUUUUAUCUUUGCUAAUUGAUUAACUAAACUUAAAAGAAGUGACUUCUUAUUUAAAAUGAAAAAUUGGAGUAAAGAUGAAGAGUAGAAGUAAAAUUUUAAGUUGUUAAGUGUUUGGUUACUUUUGAACUUAUAAUAUAUACUUUUAGUGAAAAAAGUGAGAAGUAGGAGAAAAGAAACCGGGACUUCUAAUUUUUUAAUUGUCACUUUUUGAAUCCAUAAUAAGUGGAUUGCUUUUAUCCCAAACGGUCAUCCAACUUGUCAAUUGGGCUUCUGAUUAAAAGACACACCACUUCUUGGUUCUUAUUCCCAAACCGCUAUGUUUGCAAGUCAUGGAGAAAAAUUUGACUAAAAAUUACAAAUAUCAUAUUAUUAAAUUUUAUUAUUAAGACCUUAUACAUCCAUUUAUAAAUGAGAGAUUUCUUCUUCUUAUACACCGAAAAGAAACAUUCUCACAAAAUAAUUAUGCUAGAAAUAAUUUUGCAAAUUUUACCUACCUGGAAAAAUGGUUCCACCGACAGGUUCAAAGUCGUGAAAGUUAAAACCAUCGAAGACUAAUAAGAUAGGCGAUAUGCCGAUAUAUAUUUUAUGCAGGUAGUAAGUGGGAGUGCAAGGGUAGACAAUAAUUAGGUUAACUUUUAUGAAUUUGUUUUUUAAUUAAUUACUGUGAUACUCCUUUUUUCCACAAGCCUAUAGUAUUCUACAUUUUUGUUCACAAAUGUUACAUUCUUUUUUUCUACUAACUUGUCCGGUAAACUACUAAACUAUCUUCAAAUUUUAUCAAAAAUUAUGUGCAUUUCAAAAUUGAUUUAAAUAUAUUUCUAUGAGUAUGAUGAGGCCAAUUGGUAAAUUUUUUUGUAUAAAAUUAAUUAAUUAUUAUAUACAAGCUAUAAACAACCAAUUUGAGUAUAAAUAAACAGGUCAAUCUUUUCUUCUUCUUUUUUUAACGUAAGAACUCUUUAGGUGCGCACUGGGUGAACAAAAGUAAACCGCACCUAAGCGACUUAAGCCACAGGUUCUAGUCCAAAAAACAUAAUCACAAAUUUCGCUUCCUUCGGAGUCGAACCAAACAGGUCAAAGUAAUAGAACAAGUUGAUAUUACACGUCUUUAACUAUGAAGUGAUAUAUACAAUGUCGANUGAUAAGACUGAGGUGCAGAACCUUCCUUAAAAGAGUCUUUUUUUACCACUUCUUGCUCUCCAUUUUUACCAUCAUCUUCUGAUGAUCCAAAACAUGGAAAACACCCCAUAUCACAAUCAAAAAACACUAUAUACUCAAACCCUUCAAGAAAAGCCUGUAUAUAUAAUCUAUAGAUACACAAUCACUUGUAUGCAAAUCCUCAAAAAAUCCAAACUUUUAAUGUCAAGAACUCAAAUUUCUGAAAUUGCAAUCAUGGGCAAGUUCUUGGUGAUCCCAACUAGCUCAAAUUCAAAGAUCAACACCAAGUUUUAUCACUAAAGCAAAUCAACAAAUGCUAUAAAAAAAAAGUUAUAUGAGUAGAAAAUUAUACAAUUGUAUAAUUCUGUGUUUUAUACAGCUAAGAUAGUAUUUAUAUCAUUGUAUAAUGUAUAAGAAAGACUAAUUAUAUCUUUUGUUUAUGUUUGAAUGAAAGGAGAGGCUAAAUUAAAGUGGAAUUAUGUGGAGAAAAUGUUGCAGAAAUUUACGAAAGUUGCCACUGUACUGUUGAUUUUAUGAACUUAUAUUUUGCAUUAAAUCCCUGAAAAUCCGCACAAAUUACUGCUGGGGGUAUCAAGAAU
Molecule: long non-coding RNA, 3004 nt
Filed under: Daucus carota (carrot)
Lineage: Eukaryota; Viridiplantae; Streptophyta; Magnoliopsida; Apiales; Apiaceae
Description: long non-coding RNA (DCAR_LNC004945)
Source: RNAcentral